Molecule: ribosomal RNA, 822 nt
Filed under: Sublophiostoma thailandicum
Lineage: Eukaryota; Fungi; Ascomycota; Dothideomycetes; Pleosporales
Description: SSU rRNA
Rfam family: Eukaryotic small subunit ribosomal RNA
Source: RNAcentral
UGCAUGUCUAAGUAUAAGCAAUUUAUACCGUGAAACUGCGAAUGGCUCAUUAAAUCAGUUAUCGUUUAUUUGAUAGUACCUUACUACUUGGAUAACCGUGGUAAUUCUAGAGCUAAUACAUGCUAAAAACCCCAACUUCGGGAGGGGUGUAUUUAUUAGAUAAAAAACCAAUGCCCUUCGGGGCUCUUUGGUGAUUCAUGAUAACUUAACGGAUCGCAUGGCCUUGCGCCGGCGACGGUUCAUUCAAAUUUCUGCCCUAUCAACUUUCGAUGGUAAGGUAUUGGCUUACCAUGGUUUCAACGGGUAACGGGGAAUUAGGGUUCGAUUCCGGAGAGGGAGCCUGAGAAACGGCUACCACAUCCAAGGAAGGCAGCAGGCGCGCAAAUUACCCAAUCCCGACACGGGGAGGUAGUGACAAUAAAUACUGAUACAGGGCUCUUUUGGGUCUUGUAAUCGGAAUGAGUACAAUUUAAACCCCUUAACGAGGAACAAUUGGAGGGCAAGUCUGGUGCCAGCAGCCGCGGUAAUUCCAGCUCCAAUAGCGUAUAUUAAAGUUGUUGCAGUUAAAAAGCUCGUAGUUGAACCUUGGGCCUGGCUGGCCGGUCCGCCUCACCGCGUGUACUGGUCCGGCCGGGCCUUUCCUUCUGGAGAGCCCCAUGCCCUUCACUGGGUGUGCGGGGGAACCAGGACUUUUACUUUGAAAAAAUUAGAGUGUUCAAAGCAGGCCUUUGCUCGAAUACGUUAGCAUGGAAUAAUAGAAUAGGACGUGCGGUCCUAUUUUGUUGGUUUCUAGGACCGCCGUAAUGAUUAAUAGGGACAGUC